RNAcentral lists this ribosomal RNA (676 nucleotides) under Labiobarbus lineatus. RNAcentral's name for it is "partial 12S ribosomal RNA". It matches the Rfam family "Bacterial small subunit ribosomal RNA", at positions 512 to 1495 of the family's 1533-position model. The record is from RNAcentral. Lineage: Eukaryota; Metazoa; Chordata; Actinopteri; Cypriniformes; Cyprinidae.
CCACCGCGGUUAGACGAGAGGCCCUAGUUGACCAUACAACGGCGUAAAGGGUGGUUAAGGAUAUAUUAAAAUAAAGCCAAAUGGCCCUUUGGCCGUCAUACGCUUCUAGGUGUCCGAAGCCCCAACACGAAAGUAGCUUUAAUAACCAACCUGACCCCACGAAAGCUGAGAAACAAACUGGGAUUAGAUACCCCACUAUGCUCAGCCGUAAACUUAGACACCCAACUACAAUUUGGUGUCCGCCAGGGUACUACGAGCAUUAGCUUAAAACCCAAAGGACCUGACGGUGUCUCAGACCCCCCUAGAGGAGCCUGUUCUAGAACCGAUAACCCCCGUUAAACCUCACCACUCCUAGUCACCCCAGCCUAUAUACCGCCGUCGUCAGCUUACCCUGUGAAGGCAACAAAAGUAAGCAAAAUGGGUAUAACCCAGAACGUCAGGUCGAGGUGUAGCGAAUGAAGUGGAAAGAAAUGGGCUACAUUUUCUAUUACAGAACAUAACGAACAUGCACUAUGAAAUAAUGCUUGAAGGAGGAUUUAGUAGUAAAAAGGAAAUAGAGUGUCCCUUUGAACCCGGCUCUGAGACGCGUACACACCGCCCGUCACUCUCCCCUGUCAAAACGCACCAAAAAUACCUAAUCAAUUAGCAAUGACGAGGGGAGGCAAGUCGUAACACG